GCUGGUUGGUUGGUUGGUUGGUUCGUUGGUUGGUUGGCUGGCGGGCAACGCGUAAUACGUAGACACUGUGUAUACAUAAGGCAGUACGUGGCUAGCGGCAUUAAGCUGUCCGCUUAAAGAAGCUCUAUGGCGAUGCUUAACAGUGCAUAAUGUUCGAAGAAUACUGACGGAUAUGAAAACAACUACGCAACAACUACACUGAGUGCUCACCGAAAUCAUUUUUAAAAUGAAUCAGAGGUCCAUGUGUCUACAAAUUCAACGACGAAAUUGUUAAUAAAAUAAAAACGAUAACAUUGGAAUAUUGACACUGGCUAAGGAGUGGGAUCACUCGGAGGAGGAAACGAAGUUCAUGAAAAAAUGAGAGACAAAAAGAAUAAGAUGAAGAAGAAGC
This 391-nucleotide long non-coding RNA is filed under the name Polistes fuscatus (common paper wasp). Its description in RNAcentral is "uncharacterized LOC122522538, transcript variant X1". The record is from RNAcentral. Lineage: Eukaryota; Metazoa; Arthropoda; Insecta; Hymenoptera; Vespidae.